RNAcentral lists this unclassified non-coding RNA (815 nucleotides) under Hevea brasiliensis (rubber tree). The record is from RNAcentral. Lineage: Eukaryota; Viridiplantae; Streptophyta; Magnoliopsida; Malpighiales; Euphorbiaceae.
AGAAGACUAAAAAUUCAACAGCAACAGAACAGUGACAUUUGGUUCAUUAUUGUGAGUACUGAAAUAUGCAGCACAAUUUACCAAUUUCAAGUAUAACCAAUUCCUACUUGAAAAAAAUUCCACAAAAAGGAGAACAAUAUUUUUAAGGAAUAAUCAAAACCUGACAUUUAAGACUUUAAUGACACAAUGGUAAAUUAUCUCAAAAGUCCACACAAACAGUAAGGUCCAUGUUAAGAAUUACAUUGCAAGCAGUCCCAAAACACCAAUCCUUCAUGAUCAAGUAAACGUUACAUGCUCUAUAAUUAAAUUGCACACAUUCAAAAGCCAAGCGCUAAUACUAAGGUAAGCACAUAUCAUAUAACUAAUGUAUUAGAAAUUAAGUGGAGUAUUUUAGCAGAUCUCAAACAAAAGCUUGAUUGUGAACUAAAAGAAAAAAUAUUUUUUAAUUUUAUCCAUAAAUUUACAAUACAUACAGAAAACUGAUAGCUAAAAUAUGAAUUAGAGCCUGUCCUCUCACCCUCCUUCCUUUUUUUUAAAGCUUGGGAAUUCAUUUCUCUUGAAGUUCAACAAAACCCGGUAAAAGAAUCGAAGGCUGAAGAGGAACCAUUACAUUAAUUCAACCAUCAGCUUCACACAGAUAAAAAAAAAAUGUAUUACGCAUCAAUGAUAGAAAAAUUCUCUCUUAACACCGUCAAAUUUGACUUUUUCUUUCUCAAGUUUCUACAUAUUCCUAGUUAGAAAAUUCUUAAAGCUUCAAAAAUACACAGCAAAACAUAAACGAAUUACAACAAUAACAAUAAAUAAUAAUACUCACU